GGAGAGUUGGCAGAGUGGUAAUGCAGCGGAUUGCUAAUCCGUCAUCGCCUAUAAGCGAUGCACAAGUUCAAAUCUUGUACUCUCCG
Molecule: transfer RNA, 86 nt
Filed under: Alphaproteobacteria bacterium
Lineage: Bacteria; Pseudomonadati; Pseudomonadota; Alphaproteobacteria
Also listed under: 1 other name
Description: tRNA-Ser
Rfam family: tRNA
About the family: Transfer RNA (tRNA) molecules are approximately 80 nucleotides in length.
Source: RNAcentral